Molecule: long non-coding RNA, 278 nt
Filed under: Linum usitatissimum (flax)
Lineage: Eukaryota; Viridiplantae; Streptophyta; Magnoliopsida; Malpighiales; Linaceae
Description: long non-coding RNA (LUSI_LNC003031)
Source: RNAcentral
UCUAUCAUCAUGGUAGCUGACAUUGGCUGUUCUAAUGAUUUCAUGCACUAACUUUGAAUGCAGGAGUUCCCUCCAAGGAGCAAGCUGGAUCGUAAAGUCUAUGGCAAUCAAGACAGUUCAAUAACUGAAGAGCACAUAGUGAAUCAACUAAAUGGACUUACCGUAAUUGAGGUGAUGUAAAUCUUGUCUCCACAUUCAAACUACAAUACUGAACUGAAUGUGCUAUGUCUUCUUACUCUGCAGGCUUUAAAAAACAAGAAGCUAUUCAUACUAGAUCA